RNAcentral lists this ribosomal RNA (85 nucleotides) under Spirosomataceae bacterium. RNAcentral describes it as "partial 16S ribosomal RNA". It matches the Rfam family "Bacterial small subunit ribosomal RNA", at positions 1 to 85 of the family's 1533-position model. The record is from RNAcentral. Lineage: Bacteria; Pseudomonadati; Bacteroidota; Cytophagia; Cytophagales; Spirosomataceae.
ACGAUGGAGAGUUUGAUCCUGGCUCAGGAUGAACGCUAGCGGCAGGCCUAAUACAUGCAAGGCGAGGGGUUCGCAAGGACACCGU